ACCAUAUCCUAUUCCUACGUGCUCUCCAACCCCACGCCUGACCUCAGCGGUGACUUCGACGUCGACCAGCCUCCCAUCGCGCAAACGCCCCAUGCCUCCCCCGCCUGCUCAGUGCCCAGGAGCUCGGCCGAUGAUGCCACAAACGCCGACAAGUAUAGCGCGCCAUGCGCCGCGGCCGUGCCCUUGAUCUCCUCGAUCUUGUCGCGCGUUAGCACGAAGGACGCGAUCAGCAGAGACGGAGGUGGAGGCCCCUGCGCUGUCACUACGCCGACGCCUCGAAGAUCGGCAUGGUGUUGGCCGGCUUUAGGUCGGCGCAGGAGAUCCUAUCGGCGGCAAGCGGCGCGCGCGCCGGUAACAUAGCAGCCUGGUCCGAGUAGUGGCGUAGGCGGGUGAGCGCGUUCUUGUGAGGAGUGGAUCGCUGAAGAACAACCUGCUCCGUUCUUCAAUCGCGUCCUGGUAAAGGAAUCGAUCGCCGGAGAACGAAGUGCUCUAUUCUUCAAUCUUGUACCCAAUUCUGAAGUUUGAUUUCUGCAAUCUUGUACGUAAUUCUGAAGUUUGCUUUUCUCCUGCAAUCUUCCCCAUGAAUCGCUCACUGGAAUUGAUGGAAUCGGGAACAUCAUAUUGCUUUCAAGUUGAUCAACCUCUGCCCUUUAUUCAUGGAAGAAGCAGCCGAGUGAGGACGACCUGCUCUCUUCUCUAUCUGAGGUAUAUUUUUCCGGUUUGGUACCUCAUGUUGGCAUGGAAUUUAAAAAUUCAGAUGAAGCUUGGGCAUUUUGGGGUCAGGAAAAGGUGCACGAACAAGAGAUCCGCCGAUGGCAAGGUUACUUCAUGCCAAUUUAUUUGUGCAAGGAAAUGCAAUGCUUAAUCUCUUUUGCCAAACAAAAUUCAGUUAUCCUUAUCAAGUCUGAAAUGUACAAGUAGCAAGUGGAAUGCUACAGAGACAUGGCCUAAUUCAGUUGACAAGUUUGAAAACUAGAUUCAGUUAUCAGCUAAUCGGCCUGCAGCGGUGCGAAAACGACGGCGUGGUUCAGCCAACCACCACCAUGGAGAUGGGUGUGCAGGUGCUCGACGUGGGGUUGCUGCGUGCGUACACCGAGCUAUCCACCACGGGUGGUGACUCGAGGAGGCCGACGAACUGGACGCCCUUAGACCCGCAUGAAGGACGGAGCCCAUGUAGCGCGCGUGGCCUGUAUCCUGGACACUGCCAACCACGGGGGCUCCCACUGCACGUGCUGCCAUGUAUCUUGGGCGCCUCCAACUAGGGUGCUCCCUCUGCGUGUUGCUCUGUAUCCCGGCCGCCGCCGACCACGGGGGCUCCCGCUGCAUGUGUUGCUCUUUGUCCACCGCUCCUUUUGCGAACGAAUGGCGAUGGCGAGGAUGCGCCGAGAGCUCGUUCGACCACGGCGGAGAAGGGGAAUUCCAGGGGAACAAGGAGAUAUCCAUUUUGUUCUUUUCUGUGUUUAUUGUGGGCUACUGAUGGGCCGAAGCGUCGCUUCUUUUCAUUGCGAGUGAAUGCUUCUGCCAUCGGAUGGCUUACUAAUGGGGUAUACGCACAUCAUGUCCCUCUGCAGUAGCCAGUAGGCGGAGCAACGUUGGAGGAUCUCGAUCUUUAUAGAUAGGUGAGAGAGCUUUGAGAUUGCUAUACGGCUAUAUAGUUUGGUCCAUUCAGCAAAAAAUUGGGCUUCUGUAGUGUUGUACAUAUGCAAAAACUUUUGAAGGUGCGUGUCAUCAACUUAUGGAUUCCUUUUUACUGCAUCUCUUGUCCAUUUUUGUUGGUCAUAUAAAUCUUAAGAGCAGUCUAUUUGUGCAGCAAUGAACUUCCAUAAAUUAAUAAUUUGAUCCUUUAUCGUAGUACUAUCAACUUAUAUUUUCAUGAAAUUAUAAGAUUUAUUAUCCUUCCAUGUAGUAAUAAACCAGUAAUUAUAGCCUAUUUAAGCUCAAGAUGAUAAUGAUAUUGAACUUAGGAGUUCAUAAUGGUUUGGAGAUUUUCAUUGUUUUUUUAGUUUCAUACACAUUAAGGAGCAUCAUGGUCAUGUUAGCUACUAUUGGAUUUUGUUGUUUCUCACUAAGAGGAAUUCGACUUAUAAUCCCAAUGUUAUGUUGUUAAUUUCCAGACGAUUAAAAAUUGGGUAUGUGCUUUAUUGUGAAAGUUCACAAGAGAAGCAUGCUAUUUGAAAUAACAGGUUGCAAAUACCUUGCCAUCGGAGGAUUAACACUAAAAGCCCACAAAUGAACUACAUUGCCAAGGGCCUUCAGCUUAUGAGUAAGCGUGGUUCCACCAUUAGUGGUUUGUGCAUCUGAUUUGUCUGUUACCGAGUUCUGUGACUGGUUUCACGUGUACCUGACAUUUCUUGGUACAGCCGUAGGGGCGAGGAUGUCAUAUUGAUGCAUCUUGAUGGUUUGUUUCUGUAUGAACUAGCAAUCUUUUGUUUCUUAAAUGUACAAACUGAUAUCUCAGAACUCUGAUAAAAUUAUGUCAUUUGAUCAGCUCAUGUGGAACCUACUAAUUUUCAUUGUCUCUAUACACACACUUGCAUAUCUUUUUCCCCAGUGGCCCAUUCGUAGGUACCAACUAGAAGAAAAUAAGAUUGAAGGUAUGUUUCUCUUGAUUGGAAAUAUUAUACCUCAAAUUUAGUUCAUUUUAGAUUCAAUGAUGACUGAAUAACAUGUGAAUUAAGUUAUGCAGUUUCAGAGGUCAUGAUUGUGAUACAUGACAAACGUUUUGUCUACAUGAUGACCAUCUAUAUGGUACCAUGGUUGCCGGCGAGGUGUUGUGAUGGCGUCCGCUUCCGAGAUGCACUAGCUGGGUCCAUAAUUUAAUUCUCUUGAUGGACUGAUUUUGUAUCAAUCAAUUAAUUAUCUUUGGCAGUUGUUGCACAAUGGACGUGGGCAUGUUGAUUCAUAAAGCAAAAUAUUUC
RNAcentral lists this ribosomal RNA (2918 nucleotides) under Triticum aestivum (bread wheat). RNAcentral's name for it is "partial small subunit ribosomal RNA". The record is from RNAcentral. Lineage: Eukaryota; Viridiplantae; Streptophyta; Magnoliopsida; Poales; Poaceae.